RNAcentral lists this ribosomal RNA (374 nucleotides) under uncultured bacterium. RNAcentral's name for it is "bacterial SSU rRNA". It matches the Rfam family "Bacterial small subunit ribosomal RNA", at positions 523 to 897 of the family's 1533-position model. The record is from RNAcentral.
AUACGUAGGGUGCGAGCGUUAAUCGGAAUUACUGGGCGUAAAGCGUGCGCAGGCGGUUGUGCAAGUCUGAUGUGAAAGCCCCGGGCUUAACCUGGGAACGGCAUUGGAGACUGCACGACUAGAGUACGUCAGAGGGGGGUAGAAUUCCACGUGUAGCAGUGAAAUGCGUAGAGAUGUGGAGGAAUACCGAUGGCGAAGGCAGCCCCCUGGGAUGAUACUGACGCUCAUGCACGAAAGCGUGGGGAGCAAACAGGAUUAGAUACCCUGGUAGUCCACGCCCUAAACGAUGUCAAUUAGCUGUUGGGGGUUUGAAUCCUUGGUAGCGUAGCUAACGCGUGAAAUUGACCGCCUGGGGAGUACGGCCGCAAGGUUAA